UCCUCGUUUAAGCGAGGCAGUCUGUCCAGAGUGCUCCCGACUCUCGCCGGGGUGGCAACAGGACACAAGGGUUGCGCUCGUUGCGGGACUUAACCCAACAUCUCACGACACGAGCUGACGGCAGCCAUGCAGCACCUGUGUUCCGGUUCCCUUUCGGGCACAGCCACCUCUCAGCAGUCUUCCAGACAUGUCAAGGGUAGGUAAGGUUGUUCGCGUUGCAUCGAAUUAAUCCACAUCAUCCACCGCUUGUGCGGGUCCCCGUCAAUUCCUUUGAGUUUUAACCUUGCGGCCGUACUCCCCAGGCGGUCAACUUCACGCGAUAGCUACGGUACCAAGGAAUCGCUUCCCCAACACCCAGUUGACAUCGUUUAGGGCGUGGACUAC
Molecule: unclassified non-coding RNA, 384 nt
Filed under: uncultured Gammaproteobacteria bacterium
Lineage: Bacteria; Pseudomonadati; Pseudomonadota; Gammaproteobacteria
Description: contains 16S-23S intergenic spacer region
Source: RNAcentral